Molecule: ribosomal RNA, 462 nt
Filed under: uncultured bacterium
Lineage: Bacteria
Description: partial 16S ribosomal RNA
Rfam family: Bacterial small subunit ribosomal RNA
Source: RNAcentral
GACGAACGCUGGCGGCGUGCUUAACACAUGCAAGUCGAGCGGAAAGGCCCUUCGGGGUACUCGAGCGGCGAACGGGUGAGUAACACGUGAGUAACCUGCCCCAGACUUUGGGAUAACCCUCGGAAACGGGGGCUAAUACCGGAUACGACACAGCUUCGCAUGGGGUCUGUGUGGAAAGUUUUUCGGUUUGGGAUGGGCUCGCGGCCUAUCAGCUUGUUGGUGGGGUGAUGGCCUACCAAGGCGACGACGGGUAGCCGGCCUGAGAGGGCGACCGGCCACACUGGGACUGAGACAAGGCCCAGACUCCUACGGGAGGCAGCAGUGGGGAAUAUUGCACAAUGGGCGGAAGCCUGAUGCAGCGACGCCGCGUGAGGGAUGACGGCCUUCGGGUUGUAAACCUCUUUCAGCAGGGACGAAGCGUAAGUGACGGUACCUGCAGAAGAAGCGCCGGCCAACUACGUG